This is a long non-coding RNA of Pan troglodytes (chimpanzee), 803 nucleotides long. RefSeq lists it as uncharacterized. The transcript has 2 exons. The record is from RefSeq and is a predicted model, not a curated record. Lineage: Eukaryota; Metazoa; Chordata; Mammalia; Primates; Hominidae.
GAUUCUGUCAUUGAGUUUUGAUUGGGUUCACUCUGCUUCACUGCAAAUUUUCAUUCUGGGAAGCAGGAUCUGCUAUCUUGUACUUUAGGAGUCACUGAGACUUGAAGCAAAUUGAGCUGUCCAGAAGAUCCUGGUCACAGAUUUUGGUGUGGAUGUGGUAAAAAGGGAGCACUUUUACAUUGCUGGUGGGAAGGUAAAUUAGUACAACCAUAAUGGAAAACUGUAUAGAGAUUCUUUAAAGAACUAGAAGUAGAACCACCAUUUGACCCAGCAAUCCCACUACUGAAUAUAUACCCAGAGGAAAACAAGUUAUUAUAUGAGAAAGAUAAGCACACGCAUGUUUCUAACAGCACAAGUUGCAAUUGAAAAAAUAUGGAACCAGCCUAAUUGCCUCUCAGUGAACAAGUGGAUAAAGAAAAUGUGGUAUAUCUACACAAUGGAAUACUACUCAACCAAAAAAGAAAAAAAAAAUGACAUUUACAGCAACCUGGAUGGAGGUUGAAGACAAUUAUUCUAUGUGAAGUAACUCAUUAAUGCAAAACCAAAUAUUGUAGGUUUUCCCUUAUAAGUGGGGCCUAAGCUAUGAGGACACAAAGGCAUAAGAAUGAUAUGAUGGAUUUUGGGGAAUUGAGAGGAAGUUUGGGAGGGAAGUGAGGGAUAAAAGACUACACGCUGGGUACAAUGUACACUGCUCAAGUGACGGGUUCACCAAAAUCUUAGAAAUCACCACUAAAGAGCUUUUCCAUGUAACCAAAAGCCACCUGCUCCCAAAAGCCAUUGAAAUAAAAUUUUUUAAAAAACCA